RNAcentral lists this ribosomal RNA (253 nucleotides) under uncultured bacterium. Its description in RNAcentral is "partial 16S ribosomal RNA". It matches the Rfam family "Bacterial small subunit ribosomal RNA", at positions 524 to 776 of the family's 1533-position model. The record is from RNAcentral.
AACGUAGGGCCAGAGCGUUGUCCGGAAUCACUGGGUGUAAAGGGUGCGUAGGCGGGCGUGCGCGUCUGGGGUGAAAGGCUCCGGCUCAACCGGAGACCUGCCCUGGGUACGGCACGUCUUGGGUGCGGGAGAGGGCGAUGGAAUUCCUGGUGCAGCGGUGAAAUGGGUAGAUAUCAGGAGGAACACCGGUGGCGAAGGCGGUCGCCUGGCCCGCAACCGACGCUGAGGCACGAAAGCGUGGGGAGCAAACACG